AGCCUGAGGAUUGCUUACAGAAAUGUACCUGGGGCUUUCCAUCACUGUACACAGAAAUUGCACUUGCAAUUGUGUCAACAUCUGUCUCCAAAGGAGCUGAGAGGCUGAGGAUGAAAUGCUUGCUUUGUUUACCUGCAUCUCACCUAAGCUAAAAGUACAUUGAAGUGCCCAGUGCUGCUGCAUUUGCACAUCAGCCAAGGAACUACGUGAUGGUCAAUGUAAACUGCUCUGACAGCCACAGAUUUUCUUCUUGCCUGUCAAUAGCUACACUGAAAGCUGCAGGACUAAACUGUAGAGAA
Lonchura striata (white-rumped munia) is the source of this 299-nucleotide long non-coding RNA. RefSeq lists it as uncharacterized. NCBI's taxonomy places the organism in Eukaryota, Metazoa, Chordata, Aves, Passeriformes, Estrildidae. The record is from RefSeq and is a predicted model, not a curated record.